UUAGAGUUUGAUCCUGGCUCAGGACGAACGCUGGCGGCGUGCUUAACACAUGCAAGUCGAACGGAAAGGCCCUGCUUUUGUGGGGUGCUCGAGUGGCGAACGGGUGAGUAACACGUGAGUUACCUGCCCUUGACUUUGGGAUAACUUCAGGAAACUGGGGCUAAUACCGGAUAGGAGCUCCUGCUGCAUGGUGGGGGUUGGAAAGUUUCGGCGGUUGGGGAUGGACUCGCGGCUUAUCAGCUUGUUGGUGGGGUAGUGGCUUACCAAGGCUUUGACGGGUAGCCGGCCUGAGAGGGUGACCGGCCACAUUGGGACUGAGAUACGGCCCAGACUCCUACGGGAGGCAGCAGUGGGGAAUAUUGCACAAUGGGCGGAAGCCUGAUGCAGCAACGCCGCAUGCGGGAUGACGGCCUUCGGGUUGUAAACCGCUUUCGCCUGUGACGAAGCGUGAGUUACGGUAAUGGGUAAAGAAGCACCGGCUAACUACGUGCCAGCAGCCGCGGUGAUACGUAGGGUGCGAGCGUUGUCCGGAUUUAUUGGGCGUAAAGGGCUCGUAGGUGGUUGAUCGCGUCGGAAGUGUAAUCUUGGGGCUUAACCCUGAGCGUGCUUUCGAUACGGGUUGACUUGAGGAAGGUAGGGGAGAAUGGAAUUCCUGGUGGAGCGGUGGAAUGCGCAGAUAUCAGGAGGAACACCAGUGGCGAAGGCGGUUCUCUGGGCCUUUCCUGACGCUGAGGAGCGAAAGCGUGGGGGAGCGAACAGGCUUAGAUACCCUGGUAGUCCACGCUGUAAACGGUGGGUACUAGGUGUGGGGUCCAUUCCACGGGUUCCGCGCCGUAGCUAACGCUUUAAGUACCCCGCCUGGGGAGUACGGCCGCAAGGCUAAAACUCAAAGGAAUUGACGGGGCCCCGCACAAGCGGCGGAGCAUGCGGAUUAAUUCGAUGCAACGCGUAGAACCUUACCUGGGUUUGACAUGGAUCGGGAGUGCUCAGAGAUGGGUGUGCCUCUUUUGGGGUCGGUUCACAGGUGGUGCAUGGCUGUCGUCAGCUCGUGUCGUGAGAUGUUGGGUUAAGUCCCGCAACGAGCGCAACCCUUGUUCACUGUUGCCAGCACGUUAUGGUGGGGACUCAGUGGAGACCGCCGGGGUCAACUCGGAGGAAGGUGGGGAUGACGUCAAGUCAUCAUGCCCCUUAUGUCCAGGGCUUCACGCAUGCUACAAUGGCUGGUACAGAGAGUGGCGAGCCUGUGAGGGUGAGCGAAUCUCGGAAAGCCGGUCUCAGUUCGGAUUGGGGUCUGCAACUCGACCUCAUGAAGUCGGAGUCGCUAGUAAUCGCAGAUCAGCAACGCUGCGGUGAAUACGUUCCCGGGGCUUGUACACACCGCCCGUCA
RNAcentral lists this ribosomal RNA (1387 nucleotides) under uncultured organism. Its description in RNAcentral is "16S ribosomal RNA". It matches the Rfam family "Bacterial small subunit ribosomal RNA". The record is from RNAcentral.